Molecule: long non-coding RNA, 734 nt
Organism: Syngnathus typhle (broad-nosed pipefish)
Lineage: Eukaryota; Metazoa; Chordata; Actinopteri; Syngnathiformes; Syngnathidae
Exons: 3
Source: RefSeq, a predicted model, not a curated record
GUCUUCCAAAUUCCUCCUGCCAAAAGGAACCGGUCCAUCUCGGAUGUGGGAUUAAUGAUCCAAGAAAGGUCACGUCAAACUAAAACGGUUUACUUCCUGAGUUUUAUCGACCGUGGCAUGUUAAGACUUUUUUUGUGGGUCUACUCAGGUUUGAUGAUUUCCAAAAUUGAAGCAAAUCCAAGAAAGCCAAAAUUCUGCGGACGUCCAUUUUGGAGCGAAUUCCAGGGCUUGUACUUUGACAAACUCCUAGAAGGGAAUUUACCCGACUGGAUACAUGUGACAGAUGGGCAACACUAAAUUACUGAAUCUUUACUGAUUCCAUCUAACGUGGCAUUUGCCACUGUGCACAUCCUUGCUUGUCAAGAACAAAGCUCACCCAGACUUGGAAAAUAUUAAAAGGACUCAAAGGAUAAGCUGCUCAAUAGACUACUGUAAAUACUGUACACAACGUGGAGCUACAGUGCCACCUGCUGUCACCUGAGACUCACUGUGGGUCAAACAUCUGCCUCAACGAGCUCGUUUUAAGUGAGGCGUUGUAACUCUGACUUUGCCUCCUCUCCAAAAAGUUAAGUAUAGCAAAUUGUAGCACAGCAACCAAGCAGACAGCUGACAUCUGACCUGCCUGCGAGAUGACUUGCGGCCUUCUCUCUGUGUCUCUCCAGACCUGACCGGACCUGGCUGGCCAUGGAGUCAAAAGAGUGCCAACCGACAUCAUGCCAAGGCAGCGCUCCAGC